This is a small nucleolar RNA of Mastomys coucha (southern multimammate mouse), 142 nucleotides long. RefSeq annotates it as small nucleolar RNA SNORA48. The record is from RefSeq and is a predicted model, not a curated record. The transcript has a single exon. NCBI's taxonomy places the organism in Eukaryota, Metazoa, Chordata, Mammalia, Rodentia, Muridae.
UCCCCCGGCAGUGGGCAAAGAGACACUUGUUGGUAGUGAUGAUUUUCUGUCAGUCAGGGGCAGAGCAGAUGGCAGUCCUUUGUUCAUUCCAGCUUGAUACCUGGCUCGGUGGCCAAAGCUGUUUUAUGCCUAGGACACAUAA